UGAAGGUUCACCUAUCAAUACGACAAUGACCCUAAGCACACAGGAGUGGCUUAGGAACAAUUCUAUGAAUGUCCUGUUGACAAAUAUUUACAGCGCCCGACUUGAACUGAAUAUCUUUGGAGAGACCUGAAAAGGGCUAUUGGUAAAAGGCUACUUGAAAGCAAAAGCAACUAAACAAGCUCACCGUGUCAUGUGAUGCCAUGGUGUUUACUGUUGCAUGGUUUCGAUCUCUCUUGAGUCACAUUAUUGUGUGUAGUCUAUGUGUGACUCUGAUGGCAGUGAUGAAGGACGUGCACUUGGGUUCAGGCAGCCGCUCAAUCCAAGUGCCCUCAGGCAAACUGUCUCCAAACGCAACAACAAGCUGACAUGAACGGUCAAGGACCCAUUGACUGAUAGACAUAUGGUGGAGGGACCUCCUACAUAUCAUGCAGAUUGUUUUUCUCAUAAAACUGAACCAACAAUAAUGUGUAGGGGUGGCCUAUAGUGCUAGUGAGCAGUCCUCCCUGCCGCACUCCAUAAUUAUUGACAGGUUUGAUGUGCUCAGUGAGUGGAAAGUAUGGGGAAAUUGGAAUUUCAG
Long non-coding RNA from Alosa alosa (allis shad), 577 nucleotides. RefSeq lists it as uncharacterized. The transcript has 3 exons. Lineage: Eukaryota; Metazoa; Chordata; Actinopteri; Clupeiformes; Clupeidae. The record is from RefSeq and is a predicted model, not a curated record.